GAACUGAAGAGUUUGAUCAUGGCUCAGAUUGAACGCUGGCGGCAGGCCUAACACAUGCAAGUCGAGCGGAUGAAGAGAGCUUGCUCUCUGAUUCAGCGGCGGACGGG
RNAcentral lists this ribosomal RNA (107 nucleotides) under Pseudomonas mohnii. Its description in RNAcentral is "partial 16S ribosomal RNA". It matches the Rfam family "Bacterial small subunit ribosomal RNA", at positions 1 to 106 of the family's 1533-position model. The record is from RNAcentral. Lineage: Bacteria; Pseudomonadati; Pseudomonadota; Gammaproteobacteria; Pseudomonadales; Pseudomonadaceae.